UCAUAUAACUGCGAUGGGAAGACGGAGUAGGUUAGCUCAGCAAGGCGAUGGUUGUCCUUGUUCAAGCGUGUAGAAAUGGUUCUUAGGAAAAUCCGGGAACCUCUAUUUCAAGGCGUGAUAACGAGCCCUCUUUUGGGCGAAGUGAGUGAGACCAUGCUUCCAGGAAAAUCCUCUAAGCUUCAGGUUAUAUGAAACCGUACCCCAAACCGACACAGGUGGACGAGAUGAGAAUUCUAAGGCGCUUGAGAGAACUCGGGUGAAGGAACUAGGCAAAAUGACACCGUAACUUCGGGAGAAGGUGUGCUCUUGUUAUGUGAUAUCACUUGCUGAUUGAGCAAAGAAGAGCUGAAAAAACUAGGUGGCUGCGACUGUUUAUUAAAAACACAGCACUCUGCAAACACGUAAGUGGACGUAUAGGGUGUGACUCCUGCCCGGUGCUUGAAGGUUAAUUGAUGAGGUUAGCGCUUGCGCGAAGCUUUUGAUCGAAGCCCAAGUAAACGGCGGCCGUAACUAUAACGGUCCUAAGGUAGCGAAAUUCCUUGUCGGGUAAGUUCCGACCUGCACGAAUGGAGUAACGACGGCCACACUGUCUCCACCCGAGACUCAGUGAAAUUGAAAUUGCUGUUAAGAUGCAGUAUACCCGCGGCCAGACGGAAAGACCCCGUGCACCUUUACUACAGCUUUGCAUUGAACUCUGAUCCUACUUGUGUAGGAUAGGUGGGAGGCUUUGAAGCUUUAACGCUAGUUAGAGUGGAGCCACCCUUGAAAUACCACCCUGGUAUGGUUGGGGUUCUAACCUUGGUCCGUAAUCCGGAUCGGGGACAAUGCAUGGUGGGUAGUUUGACUGGGGCGGUCUCCUCCUAAAGAGUAACGGAGGAGCGCAAAGGUAUCCUCAGCACGGUCGGACAUCGUGCAAUGAGCGCAAAGGUAAAAGGAUGCUUGACUGCGAGACUGACACGUCGAGCAGGUAGGAAACUAGGUCUUAGUGAUCCGGUGGUUCUGAGUGGAAGGACCAUCGCUCAACGGAUAAAAGGUACGCCGGGGAUAACAGGCUGAUACCCCCCAAGAGUUCACAUCGACGGGGGUGUUUGGCACCUCGAUGUCGGCUCAUCACAUCCUGGGGCUGAAGCAGGUCCCAAGGGUAUGGCUGUUCGCCAUUUAAAGUGGUACGCGAGCUGGGUUUAGAACGUCGUGAGACAGUUCGGUCCCUAUCUACCGUGGGCGUUGGAGACUUGAGGGAAGCUGUUCUUAGUACGAGAGGACCGGAAUGGACACACCUCUGGUGUUUCGGUUGUCACGCCAGUGGCAUUGCCGAGUAGCUAUGUGUGGAAAGGAUAACCGCUGAAAGCAUCUAAGCGGGAAGCCCCUCCCAAGAUUAGGUCUCCCUGAUUAUUUAAUAAUCCUAAAGAUCCCUCGAAGACUACGAGGUUGAUAGGCUAGGUGUGAAAGUGCAGCAAUGUAUUGAGCUAACUAGUACUAAUUGAUCGUGAGGCUUGACCAU
Molecule: ribosomal RNA, 1501 nt
Filed under: marine metagenome
Description: bacterial LSU rRNA
Rfam family: Bacterial large subunit ribosomal RNA
Source: RNAcentral